CUAAAAGGGACCUUAAGAGGAAUCAAAAGUCCAACACUUAUUUUCACAGAUGUUGCCCAGUAACUUAGCAUGGAAGUGUCUGAGGGAGGAUUUGAAAACUGGUCUCCUUGACUCUCCUUGACAAGUCCAGAGCUCUAUCUGCUACACCGUACUGCCCUGAAUACUGCUAGCUACUCCCUGUGCUGCCUUCAUUCAGUCACUCACAUCCGCCCCCUGGUGAUCCCAUGAUCCCAUGGACCACAGCACCACUGGUGUUAGCUAUAAGGUGUGCCCAUUACUCUGAGCCGUAAUACCUGGUGAAGGCUGAUGCUGCCGUAAAUUUCCUCCCAGAUUCCAUCACAAGUGUCCUGGUCCGAACCCUGGGGCUUUACACAGGAAAGAAGGGCUGAAGCUGGCUCCAGGACUGCUGCCGCAUGAGCCUGCAGAGCCUCCAUCACUCGCAGCGGGUUGGAAACCUCAGUGGCAAUACAGAAGAGGACAAAUAAUCAGGAAAAGCAUCAUGCAUUUUCUCAAUAGUGUGAUGGGAGAUGUUUCAAGCUCUUUUAAUAGGAUUUGUUUUCUUCACAUAAGCACUGAUGAUCACUGUCUGUUGAUGGAUAAGAACAUAUCUGAUUAUCUAUAUUUUACACAUAAGGGAAGGAGAACAGGAUGAACAUUUAUAUAAUGUCUACUAUGUGCUAG
Sarcophilus harrisii (Tasmanian devil) is the source of this 681-nucleotide long non-coding RNA. The record is from Ensembl. NCBI's taxonomy places the organism in Eukaryota, Metazoa, Chordata, Mammalia, Dasyuromorphia, Dasyuridae.